Molecule: ribosomal RNA, 275 nt
Filed under: uncultured bacterium
Lineage: Bacteria
Description: partial 16S ribosomal RNA
Rfam family: Bacterial small subunit ribosomal RNA
Source: RNAcentral
CCUACGGGUGGCUGCAGUGGGGAAUAUUGCUCAAUGGGCGCAAGCCUGAAGCAGCGACGCCGCGUGAGGGAUGACGGCCUUCGGGUUGUAAACCUCUUUCAGCAGGGACGAAGCGAAAGUGACGGUACCUGCAGAAGAAGCACCGGCCAACUACGUGCCAGCAGCCGCGGUAAUACGUAGGGUGCGAGCGUUGUCCGGAAUUAUUGGGCGUAAAGAGCUCGUAGGCGGUCUGUCGCGUCGGCUGUGAAAACUCGGGGCUCAACCCCGAGCCUGCA